UGGGGAAUAUUGGACAAUGGGGGCAACCCUGAUCCAGCCAUGCCGCGUGAGUGAUGAAGGCCUUCGGGUUGUAAAGCUCUUUUGGCGGGGACGAUGAUGACGGUACCCGCAGAAUAAGCCCCGGCUAACUUCGUGCCAGCAGCCGCGGUAAGACGAAGGGGGCUAGCGUUGUUCGGAAUUACUGGGCGUAAAGCGAGUGUAGGCGGUUGCCGUAGUCAGGUGUGAAAGCCUUGAGCUCAACUCAAGAAAUGCACUUGAUACUGGGUGACUAGAGGACCGGAGAGGAUAGUGGAAUUCCCAGUGUAGUGGUGAAAUACGUAGAGAUUGGGAAGAACACCAGUGGCGAAGGCGGCUAUCUGGACGGUUACUGACGCUAAGACUCGAGAGCGUGGGGGAGCAAAACAGGAUUAGAUACCCCUGGUAGUCCACGCCGUAAACGAUGGGUGCUAGACGUUGGCGAGCUUGCUCGUCAGUGUCGCGGCUAACGCGUUAA
RNAcentral lists this ribosomal RNA (493 nucleotides) under uncultured bacterium. RNAcentral's name for it is "partial 16S ribosomal RNA". It matches the Rfam family "Bacterial small subunit ribosomal RNA", at positions 355 to 863 of the family's 1533-position model. The record is from RNAcentral.